RNAcentral lists this long non-coding RNA (449 nucleotides) under Camelus dromedarius (Arabian camel). Its description in RNAcentral is "lncRNA (ENSCDRG00005015264.1)". Lineage: Eukaryota; Metazoa; Chordata; Mammalia; Artiodactyla; Camelidae. The record is from RNAcentral.
CUGAGACACAGGAAGAAACCUUCCCUAUUUUUUUUUUAAUGAAUUGUUGACUAACCAUACUGUCUAUUCUCCAGAAAGGGGAAAGCUUCUUGAAAUAGCUGGGACACUCUUGAGAGCCUUCAAAGAGAAGGAAUUCACCUGGAAAGGGGCUGGAGAAAGGCCCCUCCAUCCAAGAAAGUAUGAGGAAAAUUGGACUGGAUGAGGCUGAGCAUCACCUGGCACACGGGCCCAGGCCUGGGCUUCAUGGACAUGGAGAAUAUAUCUUCAAGCUCUGGGGAAUACAGGACUCUACCCCCUUCACCUCGCCAUAGUGCUGGUAAACUUCCUUCCCAUGUGUGCCCUUGAGACUCUUCUGGAAGAAAUCUGCUCUCCUUUCCUCUUCCUGGACAACCAAAACAGGUGGGAGCAAUUCAAAUUCAAUUCUCCUUUUAUUCAGUUGCCUUCUGAUC